Molecule: non-coding RNA, 74 nt
Organism: Pangasianodon gigas (Mekong giant catfish)
Lineage: Eukaryota; Metazoa; Chordata; Actinopteri; Siluriformes; Pangasiidae
Source: the annotation of a GenBank genome assembly
AGCAUGGUGGUGCAGUGGAUAGCGCUGUGGCCUUACAGCUCCAGGGUCCUCUGUUCAAUCCUGAGCUCAGGUUA